Heterocephalus glaber (naked mole-rat) is the source of this 103-nucleotide small nuclear RNA. NCBI's taxonomy places the organism in Eukaryota, Metazoa, Chordata, Mammalia, Rodentia, Bathyergidae. The record is from Ensembl.
GCGCUUUGGCAGCACAUGUACUAAAAUUGGAAUGAUACAGAGAAGGUUAGCAUGGCCCCUGCUCAAGAAUGACAGGCAAAUUCAUGAAGCGUUCCGUAUUUUU